GACGAACGCUGGCGGCGUGCCUAAUACAUGCAAGUAGAACGCUGAAGGAGGAGCUUGCUUCUCUGGAUGAGUUGCGAACGGGUGAGUAACGCGUAGGUAACCUGCCUGGUAGCGGGGGAUAACUAUUGGAAACGAUAGCUAAUACCGCAUAAGAGUAGAUGUUGCAUGACAUUUGCUUAAAAGGUGCAAUUGCAUCGCUACCAGAUGGACCUGCGUUGUAUUAGCUAGUUGGUGAGGUAACGGCUCACCAAGGCGACGAUACAUAGCCGACCGGAGAGGGGGGUCGGCCACCCUGGGACUGAGACACGGCCCAGACGCCUACGGGAGGCAGCAGUAGGGAAUCUGCGGCAAUGGGCGGAAGUCUGACCGAGCAACGCCGCGUGAGUGAAGAAGGGUGUCGGAUCGUAAAGCUCUGUUGUAAGAGAAGAACGAGUGUGAGAGUGGAAAGUUCACACUGUGACGGUAUCUUACCAGAAAGGGACGGCUAACUACGUG
This 495-nucleotide ribosomal RNA is filed under the name uncultured bacterium. RNAcentral describes it as "partial 16S ribosomal RNA". It matches the Rfam family "Bacterial small subunit ribosomal RNA", at positions 28 to 507 of the family's 1533-position model. The record is from RNAcentral.